UUUCAAUGCAUCUUAGAACACUGAGUGAAUCUAUAUAAAAAAGACUAAACUCGAAUUCAUUAUUAAUAUAUUCGAGAGCGCAUAUAAGAGCCUGGGCUUCAGCAUCAAAGAUAGAAGAAUGGUUAUUUAUUCGGUUAUAAUGAGUAAGAUCAAAAUAAUAGGAAAUAACGGCGAAUUUCCCUCUUAAAAAAAAAUUUUCGGAAAACAGGAGUCUAGAGCCGUUGGUAGGGGGAAUGGGCUGAUCUGAUGCUUAGGCCGGUGUCUAAAUCCACAGUGCACUUAAAGUAGCGGAUAAAGACAAAAGACUAGAUCAAAAUUAUUGUCUUCGUAAAUGGGGUUUUAAGACUGGAGCUGUUCUCCCAGCGAUGAAUUUAACUGGUGAAACCGAGAGGCAACACGACACACAUACUUGCGUGUUAAGUACCUGUGCCUGCAUAGAAGAGGCUGCUCGUUGAUCAAAUCUAAAAGUACAUUGAGGUGAGGUAACCUAUCAACCCCAGUCCAGGACCAACCGAACCAGUCCCUUAAACGCCAUGGAAAAUAUACUGGAGUGAGCACUUCAUCUUAUUCCAGCGAUGGCUUUGAAUAUAUUAAUGCAAAAAAGUACACGUUUUCGGAUCUCAGUUACAUGUCGCUUUCAGCAACACAAUGAGUAAUCUAAGAGUGCUUUCCAACUACGUACACAGGCGACACUGUGUAACACUGUGUACACUUCGGUGCUUUCCAACUACGACACAAAUUGACGCAAUUAUACACAGCUAAAAUGCUGUGUUCAACUGUGUCACUCCAUGGAUACCAACUUUUUUCGGUUUAUUUUUCUAUGGAAUGCUAUUCUUGUAGACUGUUUUCUGCUGUGCUUUUAAAUUAUAUUCGGAACAGUAUUAAUCAUGGAAGGUAUGUGAUACAUAUUUUUUAAAUUAUUUUAUUAUUUGUUAUAAAAAUGUAAUAAUAAGUAUUGACAUAACUAUUCUCUCGUGUUUUAAUUGAUCUCGUGUCACUUGAUGUCCUUAAAAUAUUAAUCUUCUACAAUUCUGCAAUAUAUUUAUAUUUCAGUAUGCAAUUAAAAAAUAUC
Long non-coding RNA from Pseudomyrmex gracilis, 1072 nucleotides. RefSeq lists it as uncharacterized. The transcript has 3 exons. The record is from RefSeq and is a predicted model, not a curated record. Lineage: Eukaryota; Metazoa; Arthropoda; Insecta; Hymenoptera; Formicidae.